GGUUCAAUUUGAUAAAUAAAGUGUUUAUUAUAUCUGAUUCAAAUUUUUGUUUAUAUUUCGUUUUUUCACUUUUCUAUCCUUGAUUUAUCUGAAUGAUUUUGCUUAUGAGUGACAGAUUUGUAUGCUUGUAUGUGUGUUUUGUGUUAUUUUGGUGAACUUAGGUUUGGAAUUUGAAAAUUUGUGUUUCAAUUAGAUAAAUUGUUGUGAACUUAGGUUUGGAAUUUGAAAUUCUGUAUGUAUGUAUGUAUUAGGAUAGAAUUUCAAGUUUAGUUUGGUCAAAGUCCGUGCAAUUUGUUCGAUCGACUUUGUUUCACUCGAUUUCAUCCUCAUCUUUCUUUAAUUUCACUUCAAUUGAUUCAUCCUCAAAUUCAGGUUUGUUUUCUUUCAAUUAGUUUGUAAUUAAUUAAUUAUUCUUCUGAUUUACUUAAUCUUAAAAUUAUGUCAUUAAAUUUUUUUGUGGUUCACAAAUCACAAUUUUUCCUUUGUCUAGCCUCUCGAAUGUCCUCGUACCUGGAGAGUAUACAAGGAAAUGAAUAUACAAUUAACAUACAUAGGUUGAUAAUGCAAAGAAAAGUAUUAAAAUUCAAUAUGCCAUAAACCUGAAAUGUACAAGGAAUAUGAACAAGUUGAUGCAAAGCACUGAUGUAAGUGAACUAGGCAAAUCUGUCAUUGAAGACAGGAGAUCGGGAAGCUGAUGGUCUGAUGGCUAAUACUGAAGAUACACUCAGCUUGCGGGGCUAAAUCCAAAGCUAGGAUUAUAUACGAGUUUGCAUAAAGAUGGAUCACUGAAGGCUCACAUUUUUUGGCGACUUGUCAGCAUGGUGCUCUUGCUGUGAAGAAAUGUUAGUGGACUCUUCCUGACUAUCUCAGUCUCAGGUGCAGAAAAUGUGAUUCGUCUAGAAUUUUCUGGUUUUAUGUGGUAUCUGAUUUGUACAUUGAACAUUUUAGUUGAGAGUGUAAAGAUUUAGCCGCUGCAAAGCUUAGUUGGUGCAGAAAAUGUCAAAUAGUGAUCUGGUAGUGUAGAUACAUCAGACUGUGUUCUUAUUAUUGAGACAUGUGGUAUUUCAAAAAUUGCAAUGUGCAUUACGUGAUAUUUGGUGUUAA
Molecule: long non-coding RNA, 1104 nt
Organism: Beta vulgaris subsp. vulgaris (sugar beet)
Lineage: Eukaryota; Viridiplantae; Streptophyta; Magnoliopsida; Caryophyllales; Amaranthaceae
Exons: 3
Source: RefSeq, a predicted model, not a curated record